GAAAUGCGAUAAGUAGUGUGAAUUGCAGAAUUCAGUGAAUCAUCGAAUCUUUGAACGCACAUUGCGCCCUUUGGUAUUCCUUAGGGCAUGCCUGUUCUAGCGUCAUCUAAACCUUCAAGCCCUGCUUGGUGUUGGGUGCCUGUCCCGCCUCCGCGCGCGGACUCACCUCAAAUCCAUUGGCGGCCCCCGCGUCGGCCACGAGCGCAGCAGAAACGCGAACUCGUGAGCCCGUCCGGGCGGCUCCCAGAAGCUACACCCACCCAGUUUGACCUCGGAUCAGGUAGGGAUACCCGCUGAACUUAAGC
Molecule: unclassified non-coding RNA, 305 nt
Filed under: plant metagenome
Description: partial contains 5.8S ribosomal RNA, internal transcribed spacer 2, and large subunit ribosomal RNA
Rfam family: 5.8S ribosomal RNA (bases 1-105)
Source: RNAcentral